UUGACCUCGGAUCAGGUAGGAAUACCCGCUGAACUUAAGCAUAUCAAUAAGCGGAGGAAAAGAAACCAACAGGGAUUGCCCCAGUAACGGCGAGUGAAGCGGCAACAGCUCAAAUUUGAAAU
Molecule: ribosomal RNA, 122 nt
Filed under: Allantonectria miltina
Lineage: Eukaryota; Fungi; Ascomycota; Sordariomycetes; Hypocreales; Nectriaceae
Also listed under: 6 other names
Description: partial 28S ribosomal RNA
Rfam family: Eukaryotic large subunit ribosomal RNA
Source: RNAcentral